Molecule: ribosomal RNA, 253 nt
Filed under: uncultured bacterium
Lineage: Bacteria
Description: partial 16S ribosomal RNA
Rfam family: Bacterial small subunit ribosomal RNA
Source: RNAcentral
UACAGAGGUGGCAAGCGUUGUCCGGAAUUACUGGGCGUAAAGGGCGCGUAGGCGGCCAUCUAAGUCAGACGUGAAAUCCCCCGGCUUAACCUGGGAACUGCGUCUGAUACUGGACGGCUUGAGUAUGGGAGAGGGAUGUAGAAUUCCAGGUGUAGCGGUGAAAUGCGUAGAUAUCUGGAGGAACACCGAUGGCGAAGGCAGGUCUCUGAGCCACUACUGACGCUGAGAAGCGAAAGCAUGGGGAGCGAACAGG